GUGGGGAAUUUUGGACAAUGGGCGAAAGCCUGAUCCAGCCAUGCCGCGUGCAGGAUGAAGGCCUUCGGGUUGUAAACUGCUUUUGUACGGAACGAAAAGACUCCUUCUAAUAAAGGGGGUCCAUGACGGUACCGUAAGAAUAAGCACCGGCUAACUACGUGCCAGCAGCCACGGUAAUACGUAGGGUGCAAGCGUUAAUUGGAAUUACUGGGCGUAAAGCGUGCGCAGGCGGUUAUAUAAGACAGAUGUGAAAUCCCCGGGCUCAACCUGGGAACUGCAUUUGUGACUGUAUAGCUAGAGUACGGUAGAGGGGGAUGGAAUUCCGCGUGUAGCAGUGAAAUGCGUAGAUAUGCGGAGGAACACCGAUGGCGAAGGCAAUCCCCUGGACCUGUACUGACGCUCAUGCACGAAAGCGUGGGGAGCAAACAGGAUUAGAAACCCUGGUAGUCC
RNAcentral lists this ribosomal RNA (450 nucleotides) under uncultured bacterium. Its description in RNAcentral is "bacterial SSU rRNA". It matches the Rfam family "Bacterial small subunit ribosomal RNA", at positions 354 to 796 of the family's 1533-position model. The record is from RNAcentral.